Molecule: ribosomal RNA, 352 nt
Filed under: uncultured bacterium
Lineage: Bacteria
Description: bacterial SSU rRNA
Rfam family: Bacterial small subunit ribosomal RNA
Source: RNAcentral
GGAAGGUCCGGGCGUUAUCCGGAUUUAUUGGGUUUAAAGGGAGCGUAGGCCGGAGAUUAAGCGUGUUGUGAAAUGUAGACGCUCAACGUCUGCACUGCAGCGCGAACUGGUUUCCUUGAGUACGCACAAAGUGGGCGGAAUUCGUGGUGUAGCGGUGAAAUGCUUAGAUAUCACGAAGAACUCCGAUUGCGAAGGCAGCUCACUGGAGCGCAACUGACGCUGAAGCUCGAAAGUGCGGGUAUCAAACAGGAUUAGAUACCCUGGUAGUCCGCACAGUAAACGAUGAAUACUCGCGGUUUGCNAUACAAUGUAAGCCGCCAAGCGAAAGCGUUAAGUAUUCCACCUGGGGAGU